UACAGAGGGUGCAAACGUUGCUCGGAAUUACUGGGCGUAAAGCGCGUGUAGGUGGAUUGGUGUGUCAGAUGUGAAAGCCCUGGGCUCAACCCAGGAACUGCACCUGAAACUACCAGUCUUGAGUGGUGGAGAGGGAAGUGGAAUUCCUGGUGUAGAGGUGAAAUUCGUAGAUAUCAGGAGGAACACCAGUGGCGAAGGCGGCUUCCUGGACACUAACUGACGCUGAGACGCGAAAGCGUGGGGAGCAAACAGG
Molecule: ribosomal RNA, 253 nt
Filed under: uncultured bacterium
Lineage: Bacteria
Description: partial 16S ribosomal RNA
Rfam family: Bacterial small subunit ribosomal RNA
Source: RNAcentral